CGGAAGUCCAAGGUUUCCUGGGCCAGGGUAAUCCUCCCAGGGUUAGUCGGUACCUAAGGUGAGGCCGAAAGGCGUAAUCGAUGGAAAACUGAUUAAUAUUUCAGUACCACGUGUGUGGAGUGAUGCAGGGGUAGAGGAAGAUAGUAACGCUGGGCGUCGGUUGUCCCAGUGCAAGGUCGUAGGGAGAUCGCUUAGUCAAGUACGGGUGGUUAAUUCUGAGAACUGAUGCGGAGCCCUCACGGGCGGAAGGUUAUGAUUCUAUGCUCGCAAGAAAA
Molecule: ribosomal RNA, 275 nt
Filed under: Crypthecodinium cohnii
Lineage: Eukaryota; Dinophyceae; Gonyaulacales; Crypthecodiniaceae
Description: partial Bacterial large subunit ribosomal RNA
Rfam family: Bacterial large subunit ribosomal RNA
Source: RNAcentral